AUCCAACUGAUGAGUCCCAAAGAGGACGAAAUGCACUUUAUCCUGGAU
This is a non-coding RNA of Trichobilharzia regenti, 48 nucleotides long. Lineage: Eukaryota; Metazoa; Platyhelminthes; Trematoda; Strigeidida; Schistosomatidae. The record is from Rfam.